UUCCCUUGUAGCCGAAGUUUUUAAAGAAUGAAAAAUGGAAAGAAGCAAACAAUUUGAUUUGGGCGGAACCUAAGGGGAUGGGCUAUAGUUAGCACCCAGAGGUAAUGCAUCUGUGACUUCGCCCACAUCUGCGAACGAGAUUAUGAGGUACAAUUUGUGUUACUGUACAUGAUGUAUCUACUGAAUCAUUGCAAGAUAACCGCUGACUUUUCAAUAUUGGCUUUGGCUCAACGCUAAACGUCGUCAAAGAUGGCGGAGCGUUCUGGUGGCCUUCUGGUGGGUUUUGAAAGAAGUUUUUAUGUUAUAUAGCAGCAGUGAUGGCUGUCUGUGGAUUUUGAACGGCGUUUUGAGUAGCGAUGCUGACAACCUGAUAAUAUCUGCGAUGAUGAAAGCGGAAUGGCGAUGGAUAUUCUCUUUACACCGUCUUUUAGAACUCGGGUCGAAGUAGCCGAACAGAUGACACAAAACUGGACAUUUCGCAAUUCAAGAAUUCAAGAGAAAGAGCUUAAAAUCGCGUCUAACUGACAUAUAUUUACCAUCAAUUAAAGGCUAUUCACAGCACUACGAAAUAUGCCCCUUACUUAAGAUGGAGCCAUGGAGAAAAGUCUAAUUGCCUAGUUCAAAUGAAUAAACGUGAUCUAGUAGAUUUAAUUUUUAUAAGUCCUUUCUUGUUGUAGAAAUACUAAACCAAAGACAGCUUAUUAAAUGUGUAUAAAUUAG
Orbicella faveolata is the source of this 720-nucleotide long non-coding RNA. RefSeq lists it as uncharacterized. NCBI's taxonomy places the organism in Eukaryota, Metazoa, Cnidaria, Anthozoa, Scleractinia, Merulinidae. The record is from RefSeq and is a predicted model, not a curated record.